Paramuricea clavata is the source of this 64-nucleotide non-coding RNA. Lineage: Eukaryota; Metazoa; Cnidaria; Anthozoa; Malacalcyonacea; Plexauridae. The record is from the annotation of a GenBank genome assembly.
GGCCACGGUGGGAAUCGAUGGGCUAGUAUUCCAAAGGUCGUCGGUUCGAUUCCCACCGUGGCCA